GGCCGGCUGGCCCAAUGUGGUAAGGCGCUUGACUACGAAUCAAGAGAUUGCAGGUUCGACCCCUGCGUCGGUCA
Molecule: transfer RNA, 74 nt
Filed under: Aspergillus cristatus
Lineage: Eukaryota; Fungi; Ascomycota; Eurotiomycetes; Eurotiales; Aspergillaceae
Rfam family: tRNA
About the family: Transfer RNA (tRNA) molecules are approximately 80 nucleotides in length. Their secondary structure includes four short double-helical elements and three loops (D, anti-codon, and T loops).
Source: Rfam by way of RNAcentral